UUCUGGAUGUUGAACUCUGACCUUUGAAC
Molecule: non-coding RNA, 29 nt
Filed under: Rattus norvegicus (Norway rat)
Lineage: Eukaryota; Metazoa; Chordata; Mammalia; Rodentia; Muridae
Source: RNAcentral